AAAGCUUGAAAAUUUGGAAGAUCUCACAUGUGGCAAAGUAUAGCAUGUCUACUUAUCUAUUUGCUUAAUUAUUCAAACUCCAACGAAAUAAUGAUUCUUGAAAAUCAGUUAUAGUAGAUUCAAUGAAUAUGAAUUCAAAUUUUUGUGAUACAUGUUUGAUUUUAGAUCCUCACAAUCAUAUCGUACUAUAAUAUUUUAGUUGGUUAAUUAUUCUAUUUUUAAUUAAAUCUAUUUCAUUUCAUUGAGAAGUAUUGAAAAUAUAUAUGAGCUCAAGAUAAAUAGUUAGUUUUAUCUCUAAAUUAGUGAUAAUCGUAAAAACACUAUUCUAUUUGGCUAAUUAGACUUAGAUACAACAUCGAUCUACCAUAUACAUAACAAAUGCUCUCAAACUUUUCCACUUUGGCUAUUAAACUUAGAUACAACGUAGAUCUGCCACAUACAUAACAAGUGAUCCAAAACUUUUAUAAAAGCACAAUACUCUUAACAAAAAUCGUGAAAAAAGUGUUAAAAACACCCCUAAACUUGGAGAUAAUUUAAGGAUGUAACUCGUUCAUGUUUAAAUCUAGUUUGUCAAGAAAACAUUUUUAAAACUGUCAAUACGAAAAAUGAAACUAAUAAUUCACAUUAAAUUUAAGAGUAUUUUUAAUACGAAACGUCUUUGACGUAUACUACAAAGUAAAAUCGUUGUGUAACCUUCAACAAAUAUAUAUGUUAUUUCUCAAAAGCAAGAGCAGCAUUAAAGUCUUUUCAAGGAAAAAAAAAAGUGAUUGAAGUAAAUUAUAUACACAGAAAAAGAAAAUAUACAAAAUAUGUUUAAAGAGGAUCAUAAUAUUUUUUUUUCUUUCUUUCUAAUCUUUAGCUGCAACAACAUUCUUUUGGUUCUUUAGUUUCUGUAUCCCCCUUUUCUGGUGUGGUCCUUGAGAAAACAUACAAAAAAUAAUGAUUUAUCAACUUUGGCGUUUUAUUCAGCAAUUGCACCAUUCUUGUGCUUCACAUUCAAACACUGGAAUUAUUGCACUUCCAAGCAACCACGCCGCGGCUGCUAGCACUGUUGAACAAAUGCAAACACGAAAUUUAGAAGCCAGAAGAACAUAUUGAAGGUAAUAACAACUUGGUACUACAAACACAUUCUUUGACAUGCUAUGAUACUUGAAUUUCUAAAACAACAGUGUACCAUAUAUGUGUGAACUUUUUUUCAUCUGUUCUACUCUUUUUGAUUAUGUGUUAUAAACCACUGAAGUCUAGCAACAUCGAACAUCCUCUUCCCUUUAUGUAAAAGCUGAUUGUAAGCUUAAAAGAGAAGGUUACGCCACAAUCACUAUGAAUUCCUUUUGGUAAUUAACUAACUGCAUGACCAGCUUAAAGACAUGCAGUUAACAAAGCAUAAACAGUACUUGAAUUUAACUCUCGGACGACUAAAAACAAGAUUUUAAGAUACAAGGUCCAAUGCAAUUGACGAAUCGUAGAGUGAACUGACAGAAGUUCCGUCUGCGACGUUUUUAACACGAUAUGCAAUUAAAACCUUGUUAUCUUUGAUAAUUGUGAAAAGACUUAUAAAUGCUAGAUUGUGAAUUUGAACUUCUGCAAGGAAAGAGGUAGAGCCAAACCUCAAAGAUGAGUCAUUCACAAGCAAUUUUAGUGUCAAAGCUGCUAAGGCAUAUGGCGAAUGCCUGGAAUGCUGAUAGUGGGUAGCGGUAAUCCAUUGUAAACAUGUCCUUCCCUACUUUACCGAAUUGCAAAAUAACCUUCUCAUGUUCUGGUCCAGCCGCACCAUUCUCUGGAGAAGCUACCAACUGAAAGUUCUUCACCGAGGCGACGGUUACCCGACCAUGAAAGUUCAAACACCAGCAUUGGAGCUGUUCAUGCCAUCUGGGAGCCUUAUUUUUCAGAACCAGUGAACCUUCUCUUUGAGUU
This 1914-nucleotide long non-coding RNA is filed under the name Solanum lycopersicum (tomato). RNAcentral's name for it is "long non-coding RNA (SLYC_LNC000279)". The record is from RNAcentral. Lineage: Eukaryota; Viridiplantae; Streptophyta; Magnoliopsida; Solanales; Solanaceae.